AGAGUUUGAUCCUGGCUCAGGACGAACGCUGGCGGCGUGCCUAAUACAUGCAAGUUGAGCGCUGAAGGUUGGUACUUGUACCAACUGGAUGAGCAGCGAACGGGUGAGUAACGCGUGGGGAAUCUGCCUUUGAGCGGGGGACAACAUUUGGAAACGAAUGCUAAUACCGCAUAAAAACUUUAAACACAAGUUUUAAGUUUGAAAGAUGCAAUUGCAUCACUCAAAGAUGAUCCCGCGUUGUAUUAGCUAGUUGGUGAGGUAAAGGCUCACCAAGGCGAUGAUACAUAGCCGACCUGAGAGGGUGAUCGGCCACAUUGGGACUGAGACACGGCCCAAACUCCUACGGGAGGCAGCAGUAGGGAAUCUUCGGCAAUGGACGAAAGUCUGACCGAGCAACGCCGCGUGAGUGAAGAAGGUUUUCGGAUCGUAAAACUCUGUUGGUAGAGAAGAACGUUGGUGAGAGUGGAAAGCCCAUCAAGUGACGGUAACUACCCAGAAAGGGACGGCUAACUACGUGCCAGCAGCCGCGGUAAUACGUAGGUCCCGAGCGUUGUCCGGAUUUAUUGGGCGUAAAGCGAGCGCAGGUGGUUUAUUAAGUCUGGUGUAAAAGGCAGUGGCUCAACCAUUGUAUGCAUUGGAAACUGGUAGACUUGAGUGCAGGAGAGGAGAGUGGAAUUCCAUGUGUAGCGGUGAAAUGCGUAGAUAUAUGGAGGAACACCGGUGGCGAAAGCGGCUCUCUGGCCUGUAACUGACACUGAGGCUCGAAAGCGUGGGGAGCAAACAGGAUUAGAUACCCUGGUAGUCC
This 805-nucleotide ribosomal RNA is filed under the name uncultured bacterium. RNAcentral's name for it is "bacterial SSU rRNA". It matches the Rfam family "Bacterial small subunit ribosomal RNA", at positions 8 to 796 of the family's 1533-position model. The record is from RNAcentral.